GGACAUCAGAAGCUACACAUUUGGGACCUUCUCAGGCUUCACCCUAUGCACCUCUUUUUGCUGAUCCUGAUUUGUAUUAUUUGUGCUAUAAUAACACUGUAAUUAUAUGUAUAGGACUUUCCUGAAUUCUCUGUCACUGUCAGUCUAUUAAAUGAUUGAGCAUGAAGAGAGAGUAGGAACCCCUGAGUAUUUAGCUUGUUGGUCAGAAGUGCUGGUGGCCUUGGAACUCAUAAGCUUGUGGCUAGUUUCUGAGGUGAGUGAGAGGUCUUGUGAAGGACUGUGCCCUCAGCCUGUGAAGUCUGCCUAACUCUGGCUAGUCCAUCGCAAGUCACUGCACACGUAUUAAUUCAAUCAGCUCUAUGGUCUAACCCAGGCACAACAGGAAUACAACCUUUUACUACAGAUGUGGGAUUGUUCAUGUCAUCUACUAAUGCAAGAUGGAUCUGAGAACGCUGUCUGGGCUUGGUACCAAGAGCUGGUAUUUCACAGCAGCGACCGCCUCACAGACGAGCUGUGGGAAGCAGGAGGGAGACUCUCUCUUAGGGUGCCACUACUAUGGAGACACAGCUGGGCUGAACAAGAUUUGCUUCAAACGACAACAAGAGAGACAGAAAGUAUCUGGUUCAACCGCUGCCCGAGCAGGCAGGCACCAGAAGAGCUAGCAGCCAAUCCGGCCAUGCUCGAAGCCAGCUCUGCAGCUCAGCCAAUCAGUGACAUCAUUGCUUUCUUUAGCUUGCCCAUGGUGAUGUGAAGAUGAGAAGAAAUAGCAAGGCCCAACCAGUUCUUCAUCUGGAGACAGUUCAACGUUCUGCAAACCAGAUCUUCAGGAAUUUUACUGGGAUAAUUAUCCAAAUAAAUUGCAAGCAUUCUAUCCAAAUGGAGCUCUUUCUGAGAUGAAGAGAAUUCUCAAUGUCAAGAUUUGAACAAGAAGAGAAUGGAAUACACAAUAUGGACAUCCAUAAAAAUUCAUCAGAGAGCAUUUUACUACUGAGCUGCAAAGGGAAAAACUUAAAAUGGAUAUGAAAAGUGAAGAAAGUGAUCAUAGGAGAAAACCAUUUCAGAAUGAAUGUGCAGCCUCCCCAGUCCAACUGACCAGCUUCCUGUGCUUUCAGAGACCUUUUCUAGACCAGUAUUACAAUUUGGAGAUCCACACAAUAAAAGUUCAAGGAGC
Molecule: long non-coding RNA, 1171 nt
Filed under: Homo sapiens (human)
Lineage: Eukaryota; Metazoa; Chordata; Mammalia; Primates; Hominidae
Description: mir-99a-let-7c cluster host gene
Source: RNAcentral